CAGUGGCCUCCUCACUGUCGCUCGCCAUCCACAGGACACACCCGAGCCGUCCGUACACCAGAUAAGCUGUCACCCCUCCUCCCUGGAGGCUUAACGGUGCAUCUAAGGAAGCAUUUGUACAAGUAGCAAGAGGUGAACUAGAUUAAUAGCAUUGCUGGUGUGUCUGUGUAGAUGCUGGGCUCCUAGGAAGGAAGUAGGUUACACACAGUGGGCCAAUCUCACCAAGAAACGGGGAGCACGCUAUCUUGUGCUUGCAAAUUAUCUUCAGUUCACUCUUUACUUUUGGUUGGACCCUUAAUGCUAUUGCAGAGUUGAAUGACCAGAAAGGAAGCAUUUGUAUCACGUGCAUUUUAAUGUGAGGACAAACUUGGUUUAACUUAGGGUUUUCAAGGUGAGCCAAACCAGUGUUGAGAUAUUGCAUAGGACUUCGGAUGUAACUUUUGCAGUGCCUGCUGACACGGAUGGGAGCCACGUGCUGCAGAAAAGUCAGCAAUCAGGUGAGCUGGGUUUUAGGCCGGCCCGCAGCCGCCCGGCAGGCAUCAGAAUCUCAUGCACACAUGCGGAGGGCCAGCAUGUCUGAGCCCUGUGUGCUUGCAGCACACGAAGUGGAAGCUCAAGAGGCCAGUGGUGAAGGUGGGCCUGCUGUCGGGGUGCCACGGAGCCUCGUCACCACAGGAGAGCACCCCAGUCCAAGAGCGCUUCCUGUGGCCUCUGCAGGUCCUCCGGGUCCUUGUCAUCACUUUGCAGUGAGUGACGGCCCCGCUUCCUGUCUGCGAGACUCUCCCACUUCAGGUCCCUGCGGCUGUGGAUUUGUGUUGGGGUCUGGUCCCAGGUUCCUCUCUCUGCCCUUCCCAGGUGAGCAUGGACCUGCAUCUCACUGAUCCAGGCCCCAUCUGUUCACCUCGGCUCAUGACGUGGUGGGGGCUGGGCUGCCGGCGACUACCUGGCCCAGAUGCUGCAGCCCGGCUGGCCGGUCGCCGACCACAACCCUGUGUCCUGCAGCCUUAUAGAUUCUGAGUUGACAGCACGCUGUCUUCUCACCUCAUCUGCUGUGCUGCUGGCUGUCAGGCUUCCGCUCUGCUGUGCGGGCGCUGCUCCUCAUAAGAACCUCAGGGCUCCCAGAAACAGGGUCCUCGUGGGAAGCGGAGGGGGACGCAGGAGAUGCUGCCCUGUGCAGACCUGGUCCUCUGUCCAACACAGGCGGAGAAGUAGAGUCUGGGCCCUGCGCUCCUGCCCUGGAUGUGUGGGGGUUCUCUGCCAGGCCACUGCUCCUCACGAAGGUCACAGAAGCAGUGCAAUGUCAGUACAGGCACGUGUGUGGAUAUCAUGCUCGCUUUCUCCAAAAAGGCUAAAACACACUGACUUUUCAAGAAGCUUUGAGCCCACACUGAAUUCACAAUAAAUGAAAUGUUUUAAAAUUGAUUUUAAGUACUAAUUGUCCCCAUGAAGUUCUAAUGACAACAGAACAGUAAUAUCAACCUUCAUAAUAUGAAGACUUAGCCAGGCGUGGUGGCGCACACCUGUUAUCAGCACUCAGGACGCUGAGGCAGGAGGAUCACGAGUUUGAAGCCAGGGUGGGCUACAUAGCAAGUUCAAGACCAGCCUGAACUACACAGCAAGACCCUGCCUGAAAAAAAAAAAGAGAAAGUUCUCAAGGCAUAUUUAGUACGUGGCAACACCUGGUGUUCACAGCAACUAGUAACACCCAUAAUCCAUGUUACACUGUACUUUACAGGCAGGAGGAAAGCCCCAACAUAGAAGUGGCUUUUUAAAGAACAG
Molecule: long non-coding RNA, 1779 nt
Organism: Heterocephalus glaber (naked mole-rat)
Lineage: Eukaryota; Metazoa; Chordata; Mammalia; Rodentia; Bathyergidae
Source: Ensembl